This 345-nucleotide ribosomal RNA is filed under the name Salmonella enterica subsp. enterica serovar Cerro. RNAcentral describes it as "bacterial SSU rRNA". It matches the Rfam family "Bacterial small subunit ribosomal RNA", at positions 824 to 1169 of the family's 1533-position model. Lineage: Bacteria; Pseudomonadati; Pseudomonadota; Gammaproteobacteria; Enterobacterales; Enterobacteriaceae. The record is from RNAcentral.
UUGUGCCCUUGAGGCGUGGCUUCCGGAGCUAACGCGUUAAGUAGACCGCCUGGGGAGUACGGCCGCAAGGUUAAAACUCAAAUGAAUUGACGGGGGCCCGCACAAGCGGUGGAGCAUGUGGUUUAAUUCGAUGCAACGCGAAGAACCUUACCUGGUCUUGACAUCCACGGAAGUUUUCAGAGAUGAGAAUGUGCCUUCGGGAACCGUGAGACAGGUGCUGCAUGGCUGUCGUCAGCUCGUGUUGUGAAAUGUUGGGUUAAGUCCCGCAACGAGCGCAACCCUUAUCCUUUGUUGCCAGCGGUCCGGCCGGGAACUCAAAGGAGACUGCCAGUGAUAAACUGGAGG